CGGUCACAAUCUCUUCACCAUUCUCUUCCGUCAACAUUAACGGCGUUAACGACUACCCACACUCUCCGUCACCGUACUUCGAAUCCUUCGCUUCUCUCUUCCGUUACCUCCCGUCAAACGAGUUAACAAACGAUUCCGACUCAUCAAGCGGAGACGAGUCAUCAUCACUCACCGACUCGUUCUCCUCCGACGAGUUUCGCAUGUACGAGUUCAAAAUCCGGCGAUGCGCUCGAGGCCGAUCUCAUGAUUGGACGGAGUGUCCGUUUGCUCAUCCCGGAGAAAAAGCUCGCCGACGUGAUCCAAGGAAGUUUCAUUACGCCGGCACCGCUUGUCCUGAGUUUCGAAAAGGAAGUUGUAGAAGAGGUGAUUCGUGUGAGUUCGCUCAUGGAGUUUUCGAGUGUUGGCUUCAUCCUUCUCGUUAUCGUACUCAACCGUGUAAAGACGGAACGAGUUGCCGGAGAAGAAUCUGUUUCUUCGCUCAUACGACGGAGCAGUUACGUGUUUUACCUUGUUCGUUAGAUCCAGAUCUUGGAUUCUUCUCAUCGACUUCUCCGACUUCGAUUCUUGUUUCUCCUUCGUUUUCACCACCGUCGGAAUCUCCGCCGCUUUCUCCGAGUACCGGUGAACUUAUUGCGUCGAUGAGAAAAAUGCAAUUGAACGGAGGUGGUUCCUGGAGUUCUUCUCCGGUGAGAUCUGGAGUUAGGUUACCUUUUUCGUCGUCUUUGCGUCCGAUUCAGGCGCAGACGUGGCCGAGGAUAAGAGAGUUUGAGAUCGAAGAAGCUCCGGCGAUGGAGUUUGUGGAAUCUGGGAAAGAGCUGAGAGCGGAGAUGUAUGCAAGACUCAGUAGAGAGAACUCACUCGGUUGAGUCGACUCGGUCGAGUCUUUGAUGACGUGGCGACUCGGUCGAGUCUUUGAUGACGUGGCGACUCGAUCUGAUUUUUAUUUUUUUGUGAAUAUUGUGGUGAUUUUUCAGGUGUGUAGAUAAAUGACGUGGCGACUCGAUCUUUAGUGACGUUUCAACGGAUGAUGAAGAAAACAGCUAGGAGGAGAAUUGAGAGCUAUUCUUCUGGCUUUUUUC
RNAcentral lists this long non-coding RNA (1079 nucleotides) under Arabidopsis lyrata. Its description in RNAcentral is "long non-coding RNA (ALYR_LNC001952)". The record is from RNAcentral. Lineage: Eukaryota; Viridiplantae; Streptophyta; Magnoliopsida; Brassicales; Brassicaceae.